UAUCCCUAGCCCCUCAAUGUCUUAUUAUAUCCUUGUUUGCCCCUGCUUUGCAGUGACCUGAAAUAUUCCUAAGACUUUUUGUCUUUUAUGUAAGUAUUUUUGAAUAACAGAGGUACACCCUCCAUCCCUGCCCUGCCCUGCCCCCAUAAUACUGUGUGUUUGUCUGACCUUUCUCUGUGACUAAGGUUACACUUCCUGCCUAGACUGUGGCCUGCAGAGGGCGCCAUGUUCUUCUCAGGUGAUGGCAUCUGGAGGUGCACAGUGUCUACCUGCCUGGCCCUGGUGACAUUCAGUCCCUGACCUUUCACCCCGUGUUUGCCGAUGGGAUGGAGAGGAGGAAGAGGCGAAGAAAGUUGAAAACAAAAGAACCCAUGACUCAGCGCCAGGCUUGGCAAACUGAUCGGUUUGUGAGUAGCCUAAGUUGGUCGUGUGAGACUUGAAAAGACCUUCAUCGGGAUGACCGGCAAGGAGAUGUGUUUUUCUCUUUGGGGUUGAUACACAUUGAGAGGGUGUCAGUGUGAAGUUCCAAGGGCCUACAACCAAGAGCGGACCUAUCCACAAGUGAAGCCAAUGGAGAGGAAAGAAAAAGAGAUGAACCAGUGGAUACGGCUCAAGACCCUGGAUCCAGCCAGGCCUGACACCCUCCCUUGGGUGUCUGUAAGUGACAAGAGUGCAUAAAUCCUUAUUUUGCUAAAGCCAAUUGGAAUUGAGGUCACUCCAACAGCAGCUCCAAGAUUCUUGACUAAAACACAUUUAAAACUGAAGUCUUACAGUAAUUCUAGGCAGCGGCUCUGACCGGUCAGCUCCUUUAAACACAUUUUGUGGGCUUGGAGGCUCAGGGUGUUAAACUGUCUGAACGUUCUUCUGUGUACUCACCUUGGGGAAUUACAGACGCAGGACCUAGCGGACCCGCCGCUUCUCAAGGA
Long non-coding RNA from Chinchilla lanigera (long-tailed chinchilla), 926 nucleotides. RefSeq lists it as uncharacterized. The record is from RefSeq and is a predicted model, not a curated record. NCBI's taxonomy places the organism in Eukaryota, Metazoa, Chordata, Mammalia, Rodentia, Chinchillidae. The transcript is spliced from 2 exons.